This 843-nucleotide long non-coding RNA is filed under the name Parus major (Great Tit). RNAcentral's name for it is "lncRNA (ENSPMJG00000004757.1)". The record is from RNAcentral. Lineage: Eukaryota; Metazoa; Chordata; Aves; Passeriformes; Paridae.
AGGGGGAAAAGGGGCGUGGCCUUAACACCAGUGCUAAUCACAUGACCCCUCCUUUUAACUCCAAAUAAGGGAAAAGGGGCGUGGCCUCAACACCCACCUCAAUCACAUGACCCCUCCUUUUAACCCCUAAUAAGGGAAAAGGGGCGUGGCCUUAACACCCCAUGUCAAUCACGUGACCCCUCCUAUAAACCCCAAAUAAGGGGAAAAGGGGCGUGGCCUCAACACCCACCUCAAUCACAUGACCUCUCCUUUUAACCCCUAAUAAGGAAAAAGGGGUGUGGCCUAACCACCCAAUCACAUGACCCCUCCUUCUAACCCCUAAUAAGGAAAAGGGGGCGUGGCCUAACCACCCAAUCAGGAACAGGGGGCGUGGCCAGAUGUGGGGAAAAGGGGGCGGGGAUUCAAUCCGACCAAUGGGAAGGCGCGAGGGGGGCGGGACCUUACCCGGUGGGCGGGGCCGCGCUGGGAGCACUGGGAGCCGCUGGAACCGUCGUACUGGUGUUACUGGUUAUACUGGGAGCUGCUGGGACUGUUGUACUGGUGUUACUGGGAGCACUGGGAGCCGCGGGAACGGUUGUACUGGUGUUACUGGUGAUACUGGGAGCCGCAGGUUUGAUGGUACUGGUGUUACUGGUGAUACUGGGAGCCAUGCUGGUCAUACUGGGACGAGCCGGACUGGUCAAACUGGUCACGCUGGUCGGACUCAGACUGGUCAAACUGGGACGAGUCGGACUGGUCAAACUGGUGGCGGUGGCCGGAGCUGGACUGGUCACGGUGGCCGGAGCUGGACUGGUCAAACUGGUCUGACUCGGACUGGUCAAACUGGUGGCGGUGGCCGGAGCU